GACGAACGCUGGCGGCGUGCUUAACACAUGCAAGUCGAACGGAAAGGCCCUGCUUUUGUGGGGUGCUCGAGUGGCGAACGGGUGAGUAACACGUGAGUAACCUGCCCUUGACUUUGGGAUAACUUAAGGAAACUGGGGCUAAUACCGGAUAGGAGCUCAUGCUGCAUGGUGGGGGUUGGAAAGUUUCGGCGGUUGGGGAUGGACUCGCGGCUUAUCAGCUUGUUGGUGGGGUAGUGGCUUACCAAGGCUUUGACGGGUAGCCGGCCUGAGAGGGUGACCGGCCACAUUGGGACUGAGAUACGGCCCAGACUCCUACGGGAGGCAGCAGUGGGGAAUAUUGCACAAUGGGCGCAAGCCUGAUGCAGCAACGCCGCGUGCGGGAUGACGGCCUUCUGGUUGUAAACCGCUUUCGCCUGUGACGAAGCGUGAGUGACGGUAAUGGGUAAAGAAGCACCGGCUAACUACGUG
This 468-nucleotide ribosomal RNA is filed under the name uncultured bacterium. RNAcentral describes it as "partial 16S ribosomal RNA". It matches the Rfam family "Bacterial small subunit ribosomal RNA", at positions 28 to 507 of the family's 1533-position model. The record is from RNAcentral.